Molecule: ribosomal RNA, 438 nt
Filed under: uncultured bacterium
Lineage: Bacteria
Description: bacterial SSU rRNA
Rfam family: Bacterial small subunit ribosomal RNA
Source: RNAcentral
GACGAACGCUGGCGGUGUGCUUCACACAUGCAAGUCGAACGAGGUAGCAAUACCUAGUGGCGGACGGGUGAGUAACGCGUGGGAAUCUGCCUUUAGAUGGGGGGAUAACGGGUCGAAAGACUCGCUAAUACCGCAUAUGACGAAAGUUGAAAGGAGUAAUCCGUCUAAAGAUGAGCCCGCGUCCGAUUAGCUAGUUGGUAGAGUAAAAGCCUACCAAGGCGACGAUCGGUAGCUGGUCUGAGAGGAUGAUCAGCCACAAUAGGGACUGAGACACGGCCCAUACUCCUACGGGAGGCAGCAGUGGGGAAUUUUACGCAAUGGGCGAAAGCCUGACGUAGCGACACCGCGUGAGCGAAGAAGCCCCUUGGGGUGUAAAGCUCUGUCAGCUGGAACGAAAAAAUGACGGUACCAGCAGAGGAAGCAUCGGCUAACUACGUG